This 254-nucleotide ribosomal RNA is filed under the name uncultured bacterium. RNAcentral describes it as "partial 16S ribosomal RNA". It matches the Rfam family "Bacterial small subunit ribosomal RNA", at positions 524 to 776 of the family's 1533-position model. The record is from RNAcentral.
CACGUAGGCACCAAGCGUUGUCCGGAUUUAUUGGGCGUAAAGAGCUCGUAGGCGGUUCGAUAAGUCGGGUGUGAAAACUUUGGGCUCAACCCAAAGCGUGCAUUCGAUACUGUUGUGACUAGAGUUCGGUAGGGGAGUGGGGAAUUCCUAGUGUAGCGGUGAAAUGCGCAGAUAUUAGGAGGAACACCGGUGGCGAAGGCGCCACUCUGGGCCGAAACUGACGCUGAGGUGCGAAAGCGUGGGGAGCAAACAGG